This 414-nucleotide ribosomal RNA is filed under the name uncultured bacterium. Its description in RNAcentral is "bacterial SSU rRNA". It matches the Rfam family "Bacterial small subunit ribosomal RNA", at positions 505 to 916 of the family's 1533-position model. The record is from RNAcentral.
GUGUCAGCAGCCGCGGUAAGACGAACCGUGCGAACGUUAUUCGGAAUCACUGGGCUUAAAGCGCGUGUAGGCGGAUCGGUGCGUCGGCGCCUGAAAUCCCCCGGCUCAACCGGGGAACGCGGCACGAAACGGCCGGUCUGGAGGGACGUAGGGGGGUCUGGAACUUCCGGUGGAGCGGUGAAAUGCGUUGAGAUCGGAAGGAACGCCCGUGGCGAAAGCGAGACCCUGGACGUCUACUGACGCUGAGACGCGAAAGCUAGGGGAGCGAACGGGAUUAGAUACCCCGGUAGUCCUAGCCGUAAACGAUGAGCACUGGGUAGGGGGCUCGCCGAUGGGCUCCCUGCCGCAGGGAAACCGUGAAGUGCUCCGCCUGGGGAGUAUGGUCGCAAGGCUGAAACUUAAAUGAAUUGACGG